AGGGUGUAAACGCUGCGGGCUUGGUGUUGGGGGUCCUUUGAGGGCGCCCAGUGCCGGAGAGAAGUUGUUAAGCCUGCUGCUUGGGGAGUACGUCCGCAAGGAUGAAACUUAAAGGAAUUGGCGGGGGAGCACCGCAACGGGAGGAGCGUGCGGUUCAAUUGGAUUCAACGCCGGACAACUCACCAGGAGCGACGGUUACAUGAAGGCCAGGCUGAUGACCUUGCCUGAAUCGCUGAGAGGUGGUGCAUGGCGUAGACGUCU
RNAcentral lists this ribosomal RNA (261 nucleotides) under uncultured archaeon. RNAcentral describes it as "partial 16S ribosomal RNA". It matches the Rfam family "Archaeal small subunit ribosomal RNA", at positions 748 to 1009 of the family's 1478-position model. The record is from RNAcentral.